Molecule: transfer RNA, 73 nt
Filed under: Agrilus planipennis (emerald ash borer)
Lineage: Eukaryota; Metazoa; Arthropoda; Insecta; Coleoptera; Buprestidae
Rfam family: tRNA
About the family: Transfer RNA (tRNA) molecules are approximately 80 nucleotides in length. Their secondary structure includes four short double-helical elements and three loops (D, anti-codon, and T loops). Further hydrogen bonds mediate the characteristic L-shaped molecular structure. tRNAs have two regions of fundamental functional importance: the anti-codon, which is responsible for specific mRNA codon recognition, and the 3' end, to which the tRNAs corresponding amino acid is attached (by aminoacyl-tRNA synthetases). tRNAs cope with the degeneracy of the genetic code in two manners: having more than one tRNA (with a specific anti-codon) for a particular amino acid; and 'wobble' base-pairing, i.e. permitting non-standard base-pairing at the 3rd anti-codon position.
Source: Rfam by way of RNAcentral
UCUCUCGUAGGUAAGUGAUCAGAGCAUUGGCGCGUAAAGCCAACGAGCCCGGGUUCGAUUCCCGGCGAAGGUG